UUCAGAGGUCCCGAGCGUUGUUCGGAUUUACUGGGCGUAAAUGGAGCGUAGGCGGUUCGGUAUGUCGAAUGUGAAAGCCCACAACUCAACUGUGGAAAUGCAUUCGAAACUGCCGGGCUAGAGUACUGGAGAGGAGAGCGGAAUUCUUGGUGUAGCGGUGAAAUGCGUAGAUAUCAAGAGGAACACCGGUGGCGAAGGCGGCUCUCUGGACAGAUACUGACGCUCACGCGCGAAAGCUGGGGUAGGCGAACUGGAUUAGA
RNAcentral lists this ribosomal RNA (260 nucleotides) under uncultured prokaryote. Its description in RNAcentral is "partial 16S ribosomal RNA". It matches the Rfam family "Bacterial small subunit ribosomal RNA", at positions 524 to 782 of the family's 1533-position model. The record is from RNAcentral.